Molecule: ribosomal RNA, 453 nt
Filed under: uncultured archaeon
Lineage: Archaea
Description: bacterial SSU rRNA
Rfam family: Archaeal small subunit ribosomal RNA
Source: RNAcentral
GCAACAGCGAUAAGGGAACCUCGAGUGCCAGGUUACAAAUCUGGCUGUCGAGAUGCCUAAAAAGCAUUUCAUAGCAAGGGCCGGGCAAGACCGGUGCCAGCCGCCGCGGUAACACCGGCGGCUCGAGUGGUAACCGUUAUUAUUGGGUCUAAAGGGUCUGUAGCCGGCCGGAUAAGUCUCUUGAGAAAUCUGGCAGCUUAACUGUCAGGCUUUCAGGAGAUACUGUCUGGCUCGAGGCCGGGAGAGGUGAGAGGUACUUCAGGGGUAGGGGUGAAAUCUUGUAAUCCUUGAAGGACCACCAGUGGCGAAGGCGUCUCACCAGAACGGACCUGACGGCAAGGGACGAAAGCUAGGGGCACGAACCGGAUUAGAUACCCGGGUAGUCCUAGCCGUAAACGAUACUCGCUAGGUGUCGGCCACGGUGCGACCGUUGUCGGUGCCGUAGGGAAGCCG